Non-coding RNA from Myotis lucifugus (little brown bat), 76 nucleotides. The record is from Rfam. NCBI's taxonomy places the organism in Eukaryota, Metazoa, Chordata, Mammalia, Chiroptera, Vespertilionidae.
AGAGGUUCUUGGGUGACGCACCCCAGAAUCAGGUUCCCUCCUCUCUGGUUCUGGGGUGCGUCACCCGAGAACCGCU